GUGCCAGCAGCCGCGGUAAUACAUAGGGUGCAAGCGUUAUCCGGAAUGAUUGGGCGUAAAGCGUCUGUAGGUGGUUUAAAAAGUCUACUGUCAAAUACGAUGGCUCAACCAACGGCAGGCAGUAGAGUACUAUUAAACUAGAGUUUGGUAGAGGUAGAGGGAAUCCCUAGCGUAACAGUGAAAUGUGUAGAUUUUAGGGAGAACACCAGCGGCGAAGGCGCUCUACUGGGCCAAUACUGACACUGAGAGACGAAAGCUAAGGGAGCGAAUAGGAUUAGAUACCCUAGUAGUCC
This 293-nucleotide ribosomal RNA is filed under the name uncultured bacterium. RNAcentral describes it as "partial 16S ribosomal RNA". It matches the Rfam family "Bacterial small subunit ribosomal RNA", at positions 505 to 796 of the family's 1533-position model. The record is from RNAcentral.